UCAAUUAUACAUAUAAAAAUUAAGAGAGUGGUGGAUGUGACAAGCAAGAGCUGCCUCUGAAGGACGUGCUAAAAGAGAUACAAUAACAUCACAGCAUAAACAUGACUGAGGGCCGUGCACAACACGGUAGAUGUGCAAUUUCAAAUAUGUGGAUAAUUUUAAAUAUCCUAUUAUCUCUCUACCAUGUCACAACAGAUUGAAAGGUUUCAGUCCAAAUAAAGUUUCAGCGCGUGAAAAAUGCGUGUACUCAAUCAUACAGUGGCGUGACAGAGAAGAAAGCUUACGCAGGAGAGUCUGUACUGCUGCCCUGCACCUGUACUGACCCACAAGACAUGCCCAAGAGCAUCUCUUGGGAAACCAACAGCAGAAGGGCUUCCAAAGAUCACCUUUACACAGAUAUAUUUAGUGUGUUUGAGCUGUACAGCAACAGAAUUACACUGUUUAAUGAGACUUCACCUGGAAACCUCUCCUUGCUUCUGUCAGGCCUGACUAAGGAAGAUCAGGGAUGGUACAUCUGUUGGUUAGAUAAAACAUCCAGAUUCAUCAAUGUUUCUGUUGAAGAGGGAACUCAAAUAUUCUCUAAGGCACAUCUCAGUAUUUUCAUCUCUUUGCUGCUUAUAGCUAUAACACUGGUAGGAGCAGCUGUAAUUUUCUGGAUACACAGAGGUCACAGAAAUGCUAAGAUAGAGACUGGGGAGAAAAAUGUGGGAAAUAAUUUGGGUGAUAAUGAUUCAACAUACUGUACACUGCAAAGAAAAUAUGAUGCUGAGGAAAUGUAUGGAACAAUUGGUAAAACAACAAAGGACCAAUAAAUCAUCAGAUUUGCCACUAGAUGGUGUUGUGGGAUGCUGUGUGGUUGUUUGCUAUGUUCCACUGUCCUCAUUCUGACUGAGCUGCAUUUCCUGUUUUCAUCAUUUUGUCAGAAUCUUCCAUUAUUGAAACAUAGCACUGAAAUUUUAUUUUUUUUUUAUUUCAGUUUAAAUUCUAAGAUUUCUUCAUGGAUUAUCCCUGCUCUCAGAAAAAGAUGUCAAAUAAAAGCAUA
This is an RNA transcript of Myxocyprinus asiaticus (Chinese sucker), 1042 nucleotides long. RefSeq lists it as uncharacterized. Lineage: Eukaryota; Metazoa; Chordata; Actinopteri; Cypriniformes; Catostomidae. The record is from RefSeq and is a predicted model, not a curated record. The transcript is spliced from 7 exons.